Molecule: long non-coding RNA, 4591 nt
Organism: Leucoraja erinaceus (little skate)
Lineage: Eukaryota; Metazoa; Chordata; Chondrichthyes; Rajiformes; Rajidae
Exons: 3
Source: RefSeq, a predicted model, not a curated record
UUGGAGUGAAUGAUUGUGAACUGUUCUACUAACAAAAAUAAGAUUUUGUUUCGUACAAUUCUCUUUUUUUUACAAGACAAAAAGCUGCUAAUAAGUGAUUGAUCAAUAAAACAUCAAUAAUGUAAUCCAUGAUCACCACACGUUGUGAUUCACACCAUCUUAGAUUAAUAUUGUUGCUAAUUUAUGUGACAUAGUUAUAAUUGAUCAAGAAGUGUGGACAGAAAUGGAUAGCACUGUAUUACAUCUAGUCUCCCUUGCAUUUUCAAUCAAUUAAUUAUUUAAAAUGUGUUAAUUGUGGUUUUGUAGUAAGGCAGCAAGCCAUUGUUAACACAGUAAGCUCAGGCUGACAAGGAGAUAAUUAUGUAUUCUGUUUUGUUGGGGUUGAUAGACCCGACAGGCUAUAACAUGGUCAUAAAGUCAGAACAAAAACCUAGUUAUUCCGGCAUAUGGACAGCAUUUGAGUAAAAUCUUAGAAUGGCUCAAAGCCUGAAAUGUAUCCUGAAUUCAACUUUGUGUCAGAUUGGAGUAUUGCAUUGAUGUUAACAAGGAAUUUAUGUUUAUUUGUUAACAGCUAUCAGCAUGUCUAUGGGAUGUGGGAGGAAAUUGGAGCAGCCAAUGUAACCCAUUCAUUCAUGAUGUGAAUGUGAAAAUUCCACACCAACACCAUCUGAGGUCAAGUUCCGUCGAUCCAGCUCGCGGUUUAGACGUGGACGGUCGAUCCAGCUGGGGGCUUUCCAGGAGAAUGCGCUCUUCUGGACUCGCGGAUUAGGUUGCCCGAGUGGGACAGGCCCUUACGAAGAACAAAUUGUUAUGCCUCAAUGAUUUCCCAGCUGUGUUAACUUCUGCUUUAGUAAUGAUCUGGGCCCAGUUUAAUUCACCCGUCAUUACAACAGAUCGACAGCAGAUGCAAUCUCACUGGCUUUCCAAUCUGUGCUGGAUCACUUGGACAACAGGAACACAUGUGUCAGGCUGUUGUUCAGCAACUAGAGCUUGGCGUACAGCACCAUCAACCCUUCCGAACUCAUUGUCAACUCAACGAAUUGGAUCCCUUAUCCUUAUGCAACUGGACCUCGACUUCCUCAUCAACAGGCUUUCAAUUAAUAUGAAUUGGUAACAACAAUCUCCUCGCUGACCAUCAGUAAAGAGCAUCUCAUGAUUGUGCUCAGGCCCUGGUCUACUCUCUAUAUCCAUGGCUGUGUGUCCAGACAUGGCUCCAAUGCUAUCUUUAUAUUUGUCAAUGAUACCACCCACGUUGGAUGAAGAAUGGCUAAUCAAAAAGGCACAACAGAAGAUGUACUUCCUGCGGCAGCUGAGGAAGCACAAUCUGCCACAGGCAAUGAUGGUCCAAUUCUAUAUGGCCAUGGUAGAGUCUGUUCUCACCUUUUCCAUCAUGGCCUGGUUUGGCUCAGCCACCAAGCACGACACCUGGAGGCUGCAGCGAAUCGUCCAAUCAGCUGAGAAGGUUGUUGGCUGCAACCUUCCCUCCAUUGACGAACUGUACAUUGCAAAGGCCAGGAAGCGAGCAGCAGGUAAGAUCCUCCUUCACCCCUCUCACACUGGCCACAAACGCAUUGAAUCACUUCCCUCUGGAAGGCGACUCCGGACUGUCAAAGCUGCCACAGCCAGACAUAAAAACAGCUUUUUUUCCACGAGUAGUAGCUCUACUCAAUAACCAAAAAUCUGUAGCCUCCUUUUGCUCUGGUAUUUUAUGUUUAAUCAAUAAUGUUUUAUUAUUAAUGUUUAAUGUUUAUGUGUCAUUCCUAACUGUCACUGUAUGUCAUGUUGUCACUUGCAGGCGGAGCUUCAAGGCAGAUUCCUUGUAUGUGAAUAAUUGGCCAAUAAUCUUAUUCAUUAAUCCAUCCAUUCAUUCAUUCAAUCAUUCAUUCAUUCAUUCAAAAUGAUGAGUCGGAGCACAGAAUGGAAGUUGAUAAUCUGUUUGUGGCACAAGAACAAAAAUCUUGGCCUCAAUGUUAGCAAGCCAAUGGCUGAUUGUUGAUUUCAGGAAAGCAAAUGCAAUAGAUCAUGCUCCUGUCUUCAUUGGCUGACAACAGUGAAAAGAGUCAACAGUCAAUGGCAAGUUUCUGGACAUGGACAUCUCUGAUGAUCAGUCCUGGGUCCAGCACAUUGUUCCAAUUACAAAGAAAGCUCACCAACACCUCUACUUCCUCAGAAGUUUGAGGAGUGUGUUCGUCUCACUGAAUACUCUAUUGAAAUUUGACAUAUAUACAUUAGAGAGCAUAUUGAAUGGAUGCAUCAUGGCCAACUUCGUUUUUUUGACACUCGGGAACAAAGGAGGCUCCAUCAUGGUAUUGACCUCCCCACCAUUAAAAGGAUCUGCAAGAAGCGAUCUCAAGAAGACAGUGAAUAUCAUCAAAGAUUCACACCACUCUGGCCAUGCUCUUAUCUCGCUGAUAUCAUUUAGAAGGUGUUACAGGAACCUGAGAACUGUUACUUCCAGAUUAAAGAACAGCUUUUUCCCAUCAACCAUCAAGCUCUUGAAUCACCCUGCAUGUACAUUUAUUUGUUGUACUUUUAGCAUCUAAUGUCCAGUACCUGCAGCAAGUAAUAAUUCCUUUGAUUGAAUCCUGGUGCAUAUUACAGUAAAACACGCCUCUUGAAACUUAAUUAUUUCCCUCUAACGUAUUCAUUUAACUGGUUUAAAUCAUAGCUGUGUUGUAACUGUGUGCACUAAUUUUCAAUUUCACUUCUGAGUGUGGGUUGGUCAAAAGUACUUUAGUGAGGUCAAUCCAAAUACCUCAAAAAUAGAUCUGGAAUUAAUCUCAUCAAUUUUCAGUGCAGAAAAUUGAAAUGAGGCCUCCGCAUGCUAUGGAGGGCCUCGUGUGGGUAUUAUUGGACAAGUUAGUUGUUAUUAGAUAAGGGUAUAACGCAGAUUUGUAUGCUAAAUGCAACGCACGCAUCAUUUCAGAUUUCACAAUGUGGCCUUAUAGAGCUCUGCACAGGACACAUGGACAUUCCAUUAGAUUUGUUUGAAUAAUUUGAUUCUUGAUUCUUGAAGGCUAUUCAUUGGCCAGAUAUGGAAAAGGCUGUCAGUGCAGGACAUUGGGAUAUAAUGCUUGAGGCCUACUUACCAGUUGGAGUCUCCUCCAGUUUACAGGACACAGGGACAUGAUCAGUUGUCCACAUCCAGAAAAAGCAUAUUAGCAUAUUAGGGUUAAUAUGCACAUAAGCAUGAUUAGGGAUUGCUGGCGAUGUGGAUGGUUGAUCGGAUGUGGAAUGAUCCGUUGGGGAAAGAAUACAUGACUAAAUAGGAUCUGAAUCAUUUUCAAGGAAACCUGAAUUAAUUUUCUCUGGCCUCUAACCCAAUUCAUCUAUAGCUCACCCCUGAGUUUGACAUGCCAUGUAUAAUGGGAGAUUAUUUAGAUUAUUUUAAAUGUCAACUACACGUUGUUAGAUAAUCCAAUAAAUAAAAUGCUGGAAACUUGUCCAAUAUAUUAGUAUCCUUUUAAGUGUAAAAAAAGAAACUCAGAAUGAUGAAUUUUAUAUUCCAAUGUUGCCUGAGGAUUUAUAGGCAAAAGGAAUAUGAAUCAAAAAACUGGCACUAUUUCCAACCCUUGUGGCCUUUCUGUUGAACUUCUCACUGAGAGCAGAGGGACCUCUAUUUAACUUACUAUUUCAAAGAUGGACUCUGGGGCUUUCAGUUUGCCUAGUUUAAUUUGAAUGGUUUAUGUAUUGGCUGUGCAAAUCUGUAUGCUUUUUCUCAAAGUACGAUUGAAGACUAAGGGAUAAUAAUUAACCGACAUUACAACUUAUCCUAAUUAAUACGUCAUUUGUACAAUAGAGUAAAUGUGGUGGUGUGACAAAUUAAUAUUCAUGCCAUUGCUACACAAUGUGCCUACAUUAUGAAAAUGCACUGCUGAAUUGGAUCAUCUUCACCUGGAGCUUACUUUGCCUGGAAGAUGAGGUCUCAGGGGCCCAAACUUCAAAUACAGAAUGAUCUGGAACUUAAUUUCUCCCUGAUAGGUGACAAUUUCCUAUUAAGAGUUGCAGACGUGGGAGUUUCGAUCACCCCGACGGGGGCUUCGAUUGUCAGCUGUGGGGGCUUUGACUGCCCCGACCGUGGGUGAACAAAGAGGAAGAGAUUGGACUUUAUUGCCUUCCAUCAAAGUGAGGAAUGUGGAAUCCAUUGUGGUGGAUGUUUAUGUUAACUUUCAUGUGGGUUGUGUGUCUUGUUGCUUUUCAUUUAGUAUAGCUGUAUAUUGAUCAAAGUUCACUGUAUCUUAACUGGUAGAGGUGACAAUAAAAUGACCUUGAAACCUUGAUGAAUAAUUUGGUGAAUCUCUGCAUCUACACUGUAAUGGAACAUAGAACACUAUCGCAGAGGAGCAGGCCCUUUGGCCCACUGUGUCUGUGCCAAACAUGAUAGCCUAUUUAAACUAUUCCCCUUCUGCUUGCACGAGCUAUAUGUGCCUUCAUUUUGUAUAUAUUUAAUAGCCCCUAAAAUACCACAGUAGGAUCUGCUUCCACCACCCCUCUUGACAGUGCAUUACAAGACCUAUCAUUCUCUGUAAAAAAAAAAAACAUAUCCCGCACAUCUCCUUCGAACUUUCUCACUUUGAACAUAGCGAUGCCC